UUAAUCGGUGAAUUGAGUGUUUGUUUAUUGAGGACAUUUACAGGUUCUUGGGGAAAUGGACAGCCUGGAAGAGCUUUCUUGCCAGCUACUGCUUCAAGCCAUUUGGCAGUGGAAACUAGGAAGUUCAUUGAAUACUCUCGGAACAAUUGUUGUAAAUUGUAUUUCAAUCUGCAUUGAUCUUUAAAUUAUGUAGUCUUGGCAAAUGCCUAUGGGCAUGAAAGAUACACAUUUGAUGCAUGAUGGAAUGGAAGACCCAUGAAAAAAAUAUAAUAGAGAAAAUAACAUCGAAAAUUUAAUAUAGUUCAGCAAUUUGCCUACGUCCAUAGCUGAAGAGCAAGUAUUAUUUCACUAUGAUAAAAGAGAACAAUAAGUGUUUCACUCACUUCCCAAAAUACAAGUACACCCAAUUUCACUCUCACUCAAGUAUUUCUCACACAACUAGAACAAGAAGAGAGAGCACUAAGCUAAUUAUUUGGUGUGUUUUACAAUGUCAUGGAUCACUCAUAUUUAUAGCCAAAGCUCUUGAAGAUUAUGUGGCCAAAGGAAAAGAACAUUAAUAUUAUUUUAACCAUAUCCGCUUCUUUUUACUUGGCUGGAAAUUCUCCAUUUCUUGAAGAUGAUCUUUAGCCACUUCUUUUUUGCUUGGCUCAAGAAAGUCUUUUCACCAUCUUUCUCUUUUAGCCAAUAUUCAAUAAAUCUCCACCUUAGCUAAAAGACUACCAUAGUUAUUCUCUUGCUACUAUUAUUCAUGUUCACUAGAGAUUCUGAACAUUAAUCAAGUCUAUACAAUGUCUAAACUUGGUAGUUGGAACUGGCUUCGUCAUCAUGUCUGCCGGAUUAUUUGCAGUGAGUAUUUUCUCCACUCUAACAACUCUUCUCUCCACUAUGUCUAUGAUAAAGUGCAUUUGAACAUCAAAAUGCUUAGUUCUUUCAUGAUACAUUGAAUUCUUUGUCAGAUGUAUAACACUUUGACUAUCACAAUAGAUGGUGUUUCUUUAAGUUGUAUACCCAACUCUUCAAUUAGACUUUUCUCCCAAAUGACUUCCUUUACAGCUUCUGUUACUGCGAUGUAGUCUGCCUCAGUUGUAGACAAAGCAACAAUUGAUUGUAGUGUUGCUUUCCAACUAAUAGUACAACCACACAGUGUAAAGACAUAUCCGGUGAGCGAUCUUCGCUUAUCUAGAUCUCCAGCAUAUAAUCCGAGUCAACAUAUCCAGUGAUCUUGUUUCCAACAUCUUUGACUUUACCAUAUGAAAACCCUAUAUUUGUGGUACCUUUUAGGUAGCGCAUAAUCUACUUCACAACCUUCUAGUGAACUUUACCAAGAUUUGUCAUAUAUCUGCUUACCAUACUUACUGCAUGAGCAAUAUUUGGUCUAGUGCAUACCAUGACAUACAUGAGAUUACUAACCGCACUAGCAUAAGGUAGACUUGACAUCUCCUCUUUUUCAUUCUCAGUUUGUGGACACAAGACCAUUGAAAGUUUGAAAUGAUUCGUCAAUGGAGUAGUGACCCGUUAGCAUUUGGCAUGCCAAAGUGUUCCAACACUUUCUCAAUGUACAUCUUCUGUGACAGAAAGAGUGUCCCUCCUUUUCUAUCCCUCUGAAUCUUCUUUCCAGCUCCUAAGUCCUUCAUUUCAAACUCUGAGCUCAAUUGAGCUUUCAAGUUUCUAAUUUCUGACAUGUUGUUACAUGCGAUCAACAUGUCAUCACCAUAUAAAAGCAAAUAUAUGAAUGACUUAUUUGCAAGCUUCUUGUAGUUGACGCAACUAUCAUGUUCACUUCUGGAAUAUCCAUUUUCAAGCACGAAGGUGUGAAAUCGUCGAUACCAAUAUCUGGAAGAUUGUUUUAGGCCAUAUAAAUAUUUCUUCAACAAACAAACAUGAUCUUUCAUCCAACUCACAAUGUCAUAAUGUUGUUUUAACAUCUAGUUGCUCAAGUUCUAGAUCAAAUUGAGCUACAAUUGCAAGUAGGAUGCAAAUAGAGCUAUGUUUUACCACAUGAGAGAAAACUCCAUUGAAAUCAAUGUCUUCUCUUUGUGUAAAACCUUUGGCCACUAAUCGAGCCUUGAAUCUUGCAUCUUCAACCCCAGGGAUUCCUUCCUUCUUCUUCAAGACCCAUUUGCAUCCAACAAUCUUUUGAGCAUUCGGUCGCUUCACAAGAACCCAAGUAUGAUUCUUAUGAAGUGACUCAAUUUCCUAUGUCGUGGCAGAAAUCCUUUUGAAAGCUUUUUUGUUGUUGAUAGCUACUUCAUAUGACUAUGGUUCAUAGUUACUGAUAUCAUCAACAAUAUUUAUAGCGUAUGACACUAGAUCAGCAUAACCAUACUUUUAUGGAGGUUUUAUAUGUCUCCUUUGUCUGUCUCUAGCCAACUGAUAAUGUUGUAUUUGGGAGAUACAAUAUCAGUACAUGCAUCAUGGACUUCUUCUUCUUCUUGAUUAAGUGUUUUUUCUUUUGUUGGCUCCACCUCAAACUCCACAUUCUCCAAGAUAUUAGCAUCUUCAUUUUACUUGAUGACUCUGUAUGAGGCUUUAGCAUUUCAGCUUCAUUAAGAGUAACAUCUCUACUAAUAAUGCACUUUUUUUUCUUUGACCACCAUAACUUAUAUCCUUUCACACUAUCAAGAUAUCCAAGAAAAAUGCAUUUCAAUGCUCUUGUAUCUAAGUUUUCCUUCUUUGUUAUGAGCAUAUGUAGGACAACCAAAUAUCCUCAAAUUUUCAUAAUUUGCCGGAAUACCCGACCACAUCUCUUCUGGAGUUUUAAAACCAAUGGUCGUGCUAUGCUGACAGCUUCCGCACAAAAUUCUUUUGGCAAUCCAGCAUCUGACAACAUACAUCUUGUCCUUUCAAGUAAGGUUUUGUUCAUUCGUUCUGCAAGUCCAUUUUGCUGUGGAGUGUGCCUCACGGUAUAAUGUCUGACAAUAUCAUGAUCAUUGUAAAAAUUUCUGAAUUCUCUGCUGCAGAAUUCUAGACCAUUGUCAGUUCUCAGUCUCUUGAUCUUUCUUCUGGUUUGCUUUUCGAUCAAAGUUUUCCACUGUUUGAACAUGACAAACGCUUCACUUUUGUGUUUCAAAAUGAGGAUCCACACAUUCCUUGAAUAGUCAUCAAUGAAUGUUAACAUGUAUCUGCUACCACCAUGAGAAGGUAGUUGGGAAGGACCCCACAAGUCAGAAUGUACAUAAUCCAGCGUACCUCUUGUUCGAUGAACUCCAGCAUUGAAUUUUAUCCGACAUUAUUUUCCGAAAACACAGUGUUUACAAAAGUCAACCUUCCCAACUUGUUGACCGCAUAGUAAUCUUUGUUUGACCAACUCGGCUAGACCUCUUUCACUAACAUGACUCAUUCUUAGAUGUCAUAGUUUGGUGACAUCAGAAUCAGAUGUUGAGGAGACAACAGCAAGACCCGUGAUUGUUUCCUUGUAACAUAUAGAGACUAUUCUCUUUCUUUCCUUUCAUUACAACCAUAAUGCAUUUAGAUAUUCUUAUAGCUCCACCUUCACCUUUAUAGCUAUAACCUUUUUAAUCUAGUGUUUACAAGGAAAUCAGAUUUUUCUUCAAUUCUGGAACAUGCCUUACAUCUGUAACGUCCUUACAAUUCCGUCGAACAUCUUGAUUCUAAUUGUGUCGAUGCCAAUGACCUUGCAGGGAGCANNNNNNNNNNNNNNNNNNNNNNNNNNNNNNNNNNNNNNNNNNNNNNNNNNNNNNNNNNNNNNNNNNNNNNNNNNNNNNNNNNNNNNNNNNNNNNNNNNNNUCAUUCAUCUUUUGAGUCGUGCUCUGAGACUAUUAGUACAUCUGUACUAUCAUAGCCAUUUGCUACAGCUGCAUUUUCAUAUUCAUAAUCUUUUCCUUGCAUUUGUGCUCUAGACAAUUCUUUUUUAUAUGUCCCUCCUUGUGAUAGUGAAAACAUUUAUACUUUCUAGGUUUUGCUUUAGACUUGAACCUAGAUUUUCAUCUUUCACCAAAUUGAUUUCGCCUCUCUGUUCUUCAUCUGGAAAAAAAACUAUCACAUGGCCUUCAGUUCUCGAAUCUAAACUCUUUUCUAGUUCUUUCGAGUGCAACGCCGCCUUUACUUCGUCUAAGGUCAGAUCUUCUCGACCAUACAUCAUGGUGUCGAUGAAGUGCUCGUAAGAACUUGGAAGGGAACAUAAUAGAAGAAUUUCUUGGUCUUCAUCUUCAAUUUAACAUCAAUAUUCUUUAGAUCAAGAAUAAUUUUGUUAAAUUCAUCGAGAUGAUCUUUUAUGGGUUUUCCUUCCUGCAUUUCAAGAGUAUAUAUUCUUUUAUUCAAAUACAGCCUGUUAGUGAGUGACUGCUUUCCAGCUUCAAUCAUAAUGAAGCAGUUGUAGUUUCAUCUGACACUUCUCGUAGGACUUCAUCUCUCAAGCACAACAAAAUGCACUAUGUGCUUUUUCCAAGUUUUCAUCUUUCUCGUCCUCGGUCAGACUCUGUGGUAACUUGUUUCUACCUUCCAAGGCUUUUCCCAAGCCUUGAUGAACUAGUAGAGCCUUCAUCUUCAAUCGCCAUAGGUUGAAAUCAUUUUCUCCAUUAAAUUUCUCCAAAUCAAAUUUAGCACUCGCCAUGAUAACCGUAUACCAGAACAGUAUCGUAUAUACACUAAGAAAGUUCCCAGAUGUGAGUCUUAACAGAUAAGCUUAAAUAUCAGGUCUUUCCUAAGACAGAACAUUCCUAGACAUGCACUUUCACACUAUUAUACCUUUGCAGUAACAAGAAUAAUUAUUUUCUAGUGUGUAAGAUCAAACAAUGCUGCAAACACAGAGCAUACUAUGAAUUUUCUUUUAGAUCGUACGGCUUAGCAUGCAAGAGCUCUACGAGCUAUGAUACCAGUUUGUUAGAGCGAAAGACCCAUGAAGAAAAUAUAAUAGAGAAAAUGACACCGGAAAUUUAAUGUGGUUCGACAAUUUGCCUACGUCCACAGCUGAAGAACAACAAAGAUUAUUUCACUAUGAUAAAAGAGAACUACAAGUGUUUCACUUACUUCCCAAACCCAAGUACACCCAAUUUCACUCUCAUUCAAGUAUUUCUCACAGAAAAUAUGCACUAAGCUAAGUAUUUGGUAUGUCUUACAAUGUCAUGGAACACUCCUAUUUAUAGUCAAAGCUCUUGAAGAUUAUAUGGCCAAAGGAAAAGAGUAUUAAUGUUAUUUUAACCAUAUCCACUUCUUUUUACUUGGUUAGAAAUUCUCCCUUUCUUCAAGAUGAUAUUUAGCCAUUUCUUUUUUGCUUGGUUCGAGAAAGUUUUUUCAUCUUCUUUUUCUUUUAGCCAAUAUUCAAUAAUGCCAAUGUAACAUUUGCAUGAUUUAAAUUAUUCUGUAAUAGUUAGGAACACUUUGGUAAAUGACCCAGUAUACCUCAUCUGUUGGUUUGCCAAAUGACAAUGAUGAUAAAUUAAUCAUAUAUUGGGCAUGCAUCCAUUUUCGCUGACAACUGCUAUAAUAUAGAUAAGAGGGUAAGCCUUGGCACAAAAGUAAGGAUGCUACUUAUUAACCAACAUGUUAUAUGUUCAAUCCUAGAAACAGUCUCUCUGCUUGUGGGAAUAAGACUACAUACAUCUACUUUUCUCAGAUCCCACUAAGUAGGAGCCUUAUGCAUUUCGACACCUUUUUUUUCUCUCUAUAAUAUAGAUAGAUAUUAUAUUCAGCUGAGGUAUUGUUGUAAUGAUAGAUAGACCAAGUGAACCUUCAAUACCCCAUGUUAAAUAUAUCACAGGUGAUUCAUCGGCGUUGAGCGAUUUGAAAGUAAACUAUAUAACUCAUGAACUAUGAAUGAUCUUGAACUACUAGAAAAUGUUUCUGGUUUGAAGUUAUCUGUGGCUUGCCAAAAACAUGAUAGGCCUUUCAGCUUUUACAGAUAUAUAGAUGCAAUAGAUUAAGGUUUUUAUAUAAGCAAACAACUGGAUCCUAUUACAGAUUUAAACUUCAUGAAUGAAGACAUCAUAUAAAGGCUCAAUUACAGAACUUUGUACCUCUUAUGGAUGGAGACUUUCAAAAUGUGCUCAUGGCUGAGUGCUGGGCAGUUUGCUGAGGAUUGAGUGUUCUG
Molecule: long non-coding RNA, 6049 nt
Filed under: Lupinus angustifolius (narrow-leaved blue lupine)
Lineage: Eukaryota; Viridiplantae; Streptophyta; Magnoliopsida; Fabales; Fabaceae
Description: long non-coding RNA (LANG_LNC002408)
Source: RNAcentral